Molecule: ribosomal RNA, 500 nt
Filed under: uncultured Amoebozoa
Lineage: Eukaryota
Description: bacterial SSU rRNA
Rfam family: Eukaryotic small subunit ribosomal RNA
Source: RNAcentral
AGGUCUGUCCAGAUUAGCCAUGCAGUCUAGUAUAAUCAUUUUUACUGAUGAAACUGCGAACGGCUCAUUAAAUCAGUUAUAGUUUAUUUGAUGGUAUUGGGACUUGUCCCAACUACAUGGAUAACUGUAGUAACCUAGAGCUAAUACAUGCAAAUCAACCUAACUAGUAUUCGGAAAGGUUGGCACUUAUUAGAUAACAAACCAAUACCUUCGGGUUUUAAAUGGUGAAUCAUAAUAACUGAACAGAUCGCAUGGCCUUUGUGCCGGCGACGUUUCAUUCAAAUUUCUGCCCUAUCAACUAGAUGUUAGUAUAUAGGACUAACAUGGUUUUAACGGGUGACGGGGAAUUGGGGUUCGAUUCCGGAGAAGGAGCAUGAGAAACGGCUACUACUUCUAAGGAAAGCAGCAGGCGCGCAAAUUAUUCAAUGGAAACAAAUUUCCGAAAUAGUGACAAAAAAUAACAAUGUAUUGCACAACGUGUGAUACAAUUGGAAUGAGUA